This 540-nucleotide unclassified non-coding RNA is filed under the name Chiliadenus iphionoides. Its description in RNAcentral is "partial external transcribed spacer". The record is from RNAcentral. Lineage: Eukaryota; Viridiplantae; Streptophyta; Magnoliopsida; Asterales; Asteraceae.
AGUGGUGUUUGGUUUGUUACCGGUGGUUGGCUCUCUGCUUUUGCAACAACUUCCACCUGGCAUUCCUCUUCAUUUAUGCGUCAAGGUUGCAUUUCCUUGAGCGCUUAUGGUUUCCUGUGUUGCCUACCUACGUGACGGUAUUGUUUGAUUACAUCGAAGUUGUGUUUCAUCAUGUGUCAUUUGUAUGGCGUAGGAUGAACCUCAAAGCAGCUUCUAUGAUCCACCUUGUCGAUGCACAUGGAUUGACGUUGUGGCUCAUUGAGUUUUGCUUGGUUUUCUGGAUACAGAACAUGAUAUGGGUGUGGGUCUUACCAGAUCCUUGUUUUGCCCUUGUUGAACGUUGUUAUUACUCCGAGAUGACUACUUAUCCCGAAUUGGCUCGUACCACCGGGGUAGGUUGUGUUGUUCAAGAGCAAUAAUGGCGUUCUUGCUUCUCUAAAACAGACAGCCUCGCCUUGAUUGGCUCGUACCAGCGGGUGGGCUUUGUCGAAGAGGGAUGCUACCUGGUUGAUCCUGCCAGUAGUCAUAUGCUUGUCUCAA